AGAUGAGGAGCUUGCUCUUCAAAUCGAGUGGCGAACGGGUGAGUAACGCGUGAGGAACCUGCCUCAAAGAGGGGGACAACAGUUGGAAACGACUGCUAAUACCGCAUAAGCCCACGGCUCGGCAUCGAGCAGAGGGAAAAGGAGCAAUCCGCUUUGAGAUGGCCUCGCGUCCGAUUAGCUAGUUGGUGAGGUAACGGCCCACCAAGGCGACGAUCGGUAGCCGGACUGAGAGGUUGAACGGCCACAUUGGGACUGAGACACGGCCCAGACUCCUACGGGAGGCAGCAGUGGGGAAUAUUGCACAAUGGGGGAAACCCUGAUGCAGCGACGCCGCGUGGAGGAAGAAGGUCUUCGGAUUGUAAACUCCUGUUGUUGAGGAAGAUAAUGACGGUACUCAACAAGGAAGUGACGGCUAACUACGUGCCAGCAGCCGCGGUAAAACGUAGGUCACAAGCGUUGCCCGGAAUUACUGGGUGUAAAGGGAGCGCAGGCGGGAGAACAAGUUGGAAGUGAAAUCCAUGGGCUCAACCCAUGAACUGCUUUCAAAACUGUUUUUCUUGAGUAGUGCAGAGGUAGGCGGAAUUCCCGGUGUAGCGGUGGAAUGCGUAGAUAUCGGGAGGAACACCAGUGGCGAAGGCGGCCUACUGGGCACCAACUGACGCUGAGGCUCGAAAGUGUGGGUAGCAAACAGGAUUAGAUACCCUGGUAGUCCACACCGUAAA
This 722-nucleotide ribosomal RNA is filed under the name uncultured bacterium. Its description in RNAcentral is "bacterial SSU rRNA". It matches the Rfam family "Bacterial small subunit ribosomal RNA", at positions 69 to 806 of the family's 1533-position model. The record is from RNAcentral.